Molecule: ribosomal RNA, 3026 nt
Filed under: Spondylosium panduriforme
Lineage: Eukaryota; Viridiplantae; Streptophyta; Zygnematophyceae; Desmidiales; Desmidiaceae
Description: partial 23S ribosomal RNA
Rfam family: Bacterial large subunit ribosomal RNA
Source: RNAcentral
AAGGUGAAAAGAACCCCCAUCGGGGAGUGAAAUAGAACAUGAAACCGUAAGCCUCCAAGCAGUGGGAGGAGAAUGGAAUCUCUGACCGCGUGCCUGUUGAAGAAUGAGCCGGCGACUUAUAGGUAGUGGCCUGGUUAAGGUUUUCCGGAGCCAUAGCGAAAGCGAGUCUUUCUAGGGCGAAUGUCACUACUUAUGGACCCGAACCCGGGUGAUCUAACCAUGGCCAGGGUGAAGCUUGGGUGAAGCCAAGUGGAGGUCCGAACCGACUGAUGUUGAAAAAUCAGCGGAUGAGCUGUGGUUAGGGGUGAAAUGCCACUCGAACUCGGAGCUAGCUGGUUCUCCCCGAAAUGCGUUGAGGCGCAGCGGUUGACUGGACUGCCUAGGGGUAAAGCACUGUUUCGGUGCGGGCUGCGAAAGCGGUACCAAAUCGAGGCAAACUCUGAAUACUAGGCAUGAACGAGGUCAGCCAGUAAGACGGUGGGGGAUAAGCUUCAUCGUCAAGAGGGAAACAGCCCAGACCACCAGCUAAGGCCCCUAAAUGACCGCUCAGUGGCAAAGGAGGUGAGAGUGCAAAGACAGCCAGGAGGUUUGCCUAGAAGCAGCCACCCUUGAAAGAGUGCGUAAUAGCUCACUGAUCGAGCGCUCUUGCGCCGAAGAUGAACGGGACUAAGCGGUCUGCCGAAGCUGUGGGAUGCCCAAGGAGGGCAUCGGUAGGGGAGCGUUCCGCAAACGGGAGAAGCAUCAGUGCAAACAGGUGUGGACGAAGCGGAAGUGAGAAUGUCGGCUUGAGUAACGCAAACAUUGGUGAGAAUCCAAUGCCCCGAAAACCCAAGGGUUCCUCCGCAAGGCUCGUCCACGGAGGGUGAGUCAGGGCCUAAGAUCAUGCCGAACGGCGCAGUCGAUGGACAACAGGUCAAGAUUCCUGUACUACCCCUUGUCGGCAAUAAGAGGGACGGAGGAGGCUAAGCUAGCCGAACAAUGGUCAUCGGUUCAAGGGUCAAAAGCCUGAGUACUAGGCACCUACGGGGCCGAAGUAGCUGAUGCCAAGCUCCCAAGAAAAGCUCUUACGCCAAUACUCCCCGAUAAUUCUAGUGGGACCGGAUCAACACGCGCCGCAAANGCUUCGCCGGAGGUCCAGAGGGACCCCACUAUAAUUAUUGUGGAGGCCCCAUUAUAAUUAAUAAUUCUCGUGGGCAAAAAGAAGACAAGUGGGUACCUGUACCCGAAACCGACACAGGUGGGUAGGUAGAGAAUACCUAGGGGCGCGAGACAACUCUCUCUAAGGAACUCGGCAAGAUGGCCCCGUAACUUCGGGAGAAGGGGUGCCCCUCUGGGCCGCAGUGACCAGGCCCAGGCGACUGUUUACCAAAAACACAGGUCUCCGCAAAGUCGAAAGACGACGUAUGGGGGCUGACGCCUGCCCAGUGCCGGAAGGUUAAGGAAGUCGGUGACUCGAGUACGGGGAAGCUGGCGACCGAAGCCCCGGUGAACGGCGGCCGUAACUAUAACGGUCCUAAGGUUGGAAAAAAAGCUAGCCUUAGUAAAACCAAACUAUAUGCUGGAAACUCCUCAAAAACUUUGUGACUACUCGUGGUAGAUUUUUGAGAUAUCGGCAUCCUCUCCCCAUCCGGGGUCCCCCAUAAUAGAAAGGGGAGGAAGGCCAAACCCACUGAUUCCGCUGCCCCUAUAAUUAUUGUGGGGCCCCCCAUAAUAGAAAGGUGGUCACAAAAAUUAUAAAUUAUAAUGGGCCCCUAAAAUUCUAAUGGGCGGAUUCACUUUCUUUCUCAAAAAGCAAAAGCUAUCGCAGUCAAAAGGUCCAAGACAGGGGGACAAUCAGCAGGAAAGACUCAGGAUCCCAAGCAAAAGUGCCGGAAGUCCCGGAGGAGUUUUGGAUACUGAGAAUCCUCAGAGACUAUACGUUUGGAGAUUUUCAAUGAACUUAGAAACACAAUGGAUUGUUGGCUUUGUGGAUGGAGAAGGAUGCUUUCACGUGGCGAUCAAUAAGAAUAACACUACCGCUCUCGGUUUCCAAGUCCAACCUGAAUUUACGGUGGUUCAGCAUGAAAGAGAUAUUCAGAUUCUCUACGCUCUCAAAGAUUAUUUUGGAUGCGGAGUAGUGCGGAGAAAUAAUGGAGAUCGAUUUUGUUAUCGGGCUCGUAGGCUGUCGCACCUUCGUGAAAAGAUUAUUCCGUUCUUUGAGCAACAUAAGUUGAAAACAAAGAAACGGGUUGAUUUUGAAAAAUUCCGCGAUGUCGUUCUUUUGAUCGAAGAAAAGAAGCAUCUUACCGUGGAAGGUCUUCAAAACAUUCGCGAGAUUCAAGCAGGGAUGAAUCGCAAGUCCAUGAAAAAGCGUUCGUAGAUUGUGAAGGUCUCCCGAGUUCCUCCCGCAGGCCCAUUUUCUUGGGGGAGAUACAAAGGUCGUUCUAAAGAAAAUCUAAGAUAGAGUCCAGCUUUUUGUGAAAGCAAAGAGAUCAACUGAGCGAAAUUCCUUGUCGGGUAAGUUCCGACCCGCACGAAANGCGUAACGAUCUGGGCACUGUCUCGGAGAGAGGCUCGGUGAAAUAGACUUGUCUGUGAAGAUGCGGACUACCUGCACCUGGACAGAAAGACCCUAUGAAGCUUUACUGUUCCCUGGGAUGGGGUUUGGGCCUUUCUUGCGCAGUCUAGGUGGGAGGCGAAGACGGCGUCCUUCCGGGGACGCUCGAGCCGAAGAUGAGAGACCACCCUAGAAAGGCUAGGAUUCUAACCUUAUGCCUAGAAGAAGGCUAGGGGACAGUCCCAGGUAGACAGUUUCUAUGGGGCGUAGGCCUCCCAAAGGGUAACGGAGGCGUGCAAAGGUUUCCUCAGGCUGGACGGAAAUCAGCCUUCGAGUGCAAAGGCAGAAGGGAGCUUGACUGCAAGACCCACCCGUCGAGCAGGGACGAAAGUCGGCCUUAGUGAUCCGACGGUUCCGAGUGGAAGGGCCGUCGCUCAACGGAUAAAAGUUACUCUAGGGAUAACAGGCUGAUCUUCCCCAAGAGUUCACA